Molecule: long non-coding RNA, 1608 nt
Filed under: Homo sapiens (human)
Lineage: Eukaryota; Metazoa; Chordata; Mammalia; Primates; Hominidae
Description: non-protein coding lnc-AHNAK-1:2
Source: RNAcentral
AUACACAACGGCAGCUUUCCUACUGAUCAAUUAGUCCAGGCACAUUGACACAAGCCCCUGGAUUUUGCAACGUGAUGGCGGUGUUUGACAACUACCAUUCUGCUUUAGCUUUCCUCCAGAAUACCUGCCUUGCAUUGGCCCUGGGUAAAUGUUUCCCUUGGCUGUGAAUAGGCAAUUAAAAUUCUGAACCUUUUAUGGCUCUGGAAGCUUAUCCGAUGAAACAAUACUCAUCCAGGCGGAUGGCCCACCAGCGCAAAGGGCUGAGGCCGCUGUAAGCCAAGGUACGCAACGCUUGCUAAACAGGAAUCCCUGGAAUGAAUCCAUGCAUGAGGCCUUUGUGCCAUGUGACAGUUGAAGGCUGUGGUGACCCCGGAACCGUCCCACUCCGAGACGCCUUAACACCGUUUUUCUGCUGUUACAAACCACAGAGCAACGCGUGUGCCUCCUCCCGCCCUGGGGACUCUUUCUGUGGGAGAGGUGCCUGGAUUUAGAGGAGCGACCACUCUUCAUUUGAUCUUGGUCACUUUCCCAGUUGUCACUCGGCCCACAAACUAGGAUGUGAGCAGCAUAUUAAGAAUCUGCAGAGAUGUUCCCGUCUGCCCGGCAUAUGGAUGUCCUUCUGGGCUGCAAAGUGGCAUCCUGUGGGCAACUCCCCCCACAACAACCAGCUGCCAGCUCUGGGGAUUUGGGCAGCAGAUUUGGGGUUGACAGCAGAAUGACAUGAUCACCAGUUGACCUUGGCCAGGAUGCCAGCUUACUUUCUCGCUUACUUCUGCAGGUUCUUUGUUCUGCGGAAAAUAUUUAUGGCCAGGCAAGGUGGCUUACACCUGUAAUGCCAGCACUUUGGGAGGCUGAGGCAGGCGGAUCACCUGAGGUCGAGAGUUGGAGACCAGUGUGACCAACAUGGAGAAACCCCAUCUCUACUAAAAAUACAAAAUCAGCUGGGGGUGGUGGCGCAUGCCUGUAAUCCCAGCUACUCGGGAAGCUGAGGCAGGAGAAUCGCUUGAACCGGGGAGGCGGAGGUUGUGGUGAGCCGAGAUUGCACCAUUGCACUCCAGCCUGGCAACAAGGGAUAAACCCCGUCUCAAAAAAAAAAAAAGAAAAAAAAAAAGAAAAAAAUAUUUAUAAUGUAACUAAUAUAGCUAAAAUAAAAUGUAAUUUCAGUCUCAAGCCUUCAUUCUGUUAAGGGGACAGAAACUUAAUCUUGGUCAUCUUGGGGUCUCCCUCCCUGGGGCUGUGCCUGACUUCCAGGGGGCUCGGCGUUGGCAGGAUUUCUGGUGCUUGAGGUCACCUGUCAGCCUGUCUCUUGUCAUUGGCUAUCCGCCGUGCCAUCUGCUCCUGUGUGUCCUUGGCACUGUUCGCAUGUCUCCAGCUCGCUGGCUUUCUCUGCCACCUUGGAGCCACUCCUGGGUGCACAGGAGUCUUACUGCUCCCACGCUGUGCUGGGGCCUGGGAAGACUGCUGUGGCCUACCUGCCUCCGUGUAGCACACACACCCAUUUCUUCUUCUUCUUCUCCUUCUCCUUCUUCAGACAGAGACUCACUCUGUCACCUAGGCUGGACUGCAGUGGUGCCAAAUUGGCUCACUGCAACCUCCGCCUCCCGGGUU